RNAcentral lists this ribosomal RNA (424 nucleotides) under uncultured prokaryote. RNAcentral describes it as "bacterial SSU rRNA". It matches the Rfam family "Bacterial small subunit ribosomal RNA", at positions 355 to 796 of the family's 1533-position model. The record is from RNAcentral.
UUGGGAAUCUUAGACAAUGGGGGAAACCCUGAUCUAGCCAUGCCGCGUGAGUGACGAAGGCCCUAGGGUCGUAAAGCUCUUUCGCCAGGGAAGAUAAUGACGGUACCUGGUAAAGAAACCCCGGCUAACUCCGUGCCAGCAGCCGCGGUAAUACGGAGGGGGCAAGCGUUGUUCGGAUUUACUGGGCGUAAAGGGCGCGUAGGCGGGCGAUCAAGUCAGGGGUGAAAGGCCUGGGCUCAACCUGGGACGUGCCUUUGAAACUGAUUGUCUUGAGUGCGGGAGAGGGUGACGGAAUUCCCAGUGUAGAGGUGAAAUUCGUAGAUAUUGGGAAGAACACCGGUGGCGAAGGCGGUCACCUGGCCCGCAACUGACGCUGAGGCGCGAAAGCGUGGGGAGCAAACAGGAUUAGAUACCCCCGUAGUCC